AGAAUUUCUAGCGUGGUUGUGUUUACGACGACAAGCCGAUGCUUGUCUUGGAGUAGGUUAUUUCACUUGAGAAAGGGAGACAAGCUGGAGUAAAUGUUGCUCUCCAUGGGAAGAUGCAGCUUCCAGCUGCAGGAAGGGAAGAGUAAAGACACUUCUUAUUUUCCAAUUUUCCAGUAGGAGUGAAAAAUGCUGCCUGAUAGCUGUGGAGAUUGAAGGUUUCUAGUUGUUCACAGAAUGUGUGUAGCCUGGGUAGUAUUCACUUCCCGCUCUACAGCGUCCCAUUCCUCCCUGGCUUAGCAUGCCGGGUUGAUUCCAUCCCUGAUCUCUUCUCAAAGCCCUUUAUUUCGGGUGUUCUCUGCAAUUGGGGCGAUUACUGCCCAGUGCAGAGGGCAGCAGCUCUGUGAGCAGUGCGAGCCACAAACCCAUCUCGGCCGCACAGAGCGCCCAUCAGCCCUGGCACUGUCAGGGUAUGGGGGACGGGGGGCAUCUGUGUGUCAUGUGUGGGGUGACGGGCACUAUUGCUGUCCUCACAGCCACAGGUCCAGAAGGGGAGGGCACCGUGGCUGCACUCAGGGCCUGACACUCCUGCCAGAAUCCCAGAAGGUGAAAAGCGUUUGCACUGUUCAUCUUCUUACUGUCACUUUGGAGGUUACCUUCAUUUCUUGACACAGAUCCAUACUGUAUUUUUGCAGAGAUACAGUUUUCUCCCGGUUGCCCUUUUUCCUCUCUUUGUAAUCCCUGGUUGGCAGUGAGAGUGGUCUGACAGAUCUCUGUGACUGAUAAGAGAAAUGAUUGCCUAAGUGAGAAUUGUUUCUGGAGCACAUUCCUCCCCUUGGGUUAAAUAUAGGUUGCGGCAUCCCAGCAUAAUGAAAAGAUCGGGAAGCAUUUACACGCUGCUAUAGUUGAUGCCUUGUAAUAAUUGAGUAAAACAUUCACAAUUGUGAAAAUCACACCUGUAAAGAUGAGCUUAGUCACUUUCCUGUUAAUGAGUCUGUAUUUUCAGUCAGCCUCUCCCUUACCGCAUUCAGCACAUGCACUAAAACAUAUCCCAGCUCAACCCAAUCCUUCAGCCUUUGUGUUUUAUCGCCUUGUGAUUUGCUGUUGGCUGCAGCAGCCUGGUUUAUUACCAUACCGUGUGCACUGCAGUACUCGCAUAGCAUUGUGCUGCAGGAUUG
Molecule: long non-coding RNA, 1175 nt
Filed under: Gallus gallus (chicken)
Lineage: Eukaryota; Metazoa; Chordata; Aves; Galliformes; Phasianidae
Description: lncRNA (ENSGALG00010007253.1)
Source: RNAcentral